AUGCCUUCAUGCUGGGCCGAGGAGGAGCGCGCCGUCGAGAUCGUUGAUGACAGCGACAUGGGCGAGGCCGGGGAGGAGGUCAUGGUUGAUGCUUUACUGCCUGAACAUGUUGACCGGGAACAAGAGGGUAAGGUGGAUGUGAGGGCGGAGGCGCAUGCCAUGGUGCAGGAUGUUGUGGAAGCCCGAUUAUUUGAGGAAGUGACAGCCACUGGGAGCAUGGAUCGACAGACUAGACAGACCAAGUCCAUUGAUCGGUUGAUUCAACAACGAAGGAAGAGGCAGAAGGUUAUAAAAACGAGCUUGGGGAUUUACUGA
RNAcentral lists this ribosomal RNA (315 nucleotides) under Triticum aestivum (bread wheat). RNAcentral describes it as "partial small subunit ribosomal RNA". Lineage: Eukaryota; Viridiplantae; Streptophyta; Magnoliopsida; Poales; Poaceae. The record is from RNAcentral.